RNAcentral lists this transfer RNA (72 nucleotides) under Candidatus Pacearchaeota archaeon. RNAcentral describes it as "tRNA-Trp". It matches the Rfam family "tRNA". Rfam says of the family: Transfer RNA (tRNA) molecules are approximately 80 nucleotides in length. Their secondary structure includes four short double-helical elements and three loops (D, anti-codon, and T loops). Lineage: Archaea; Nanobdellati. The record is from RNAcentral.
GGGUCAGUAGUAUAAUGUUUAUUAUUGCCGGCUCCAGCCCGGCGGACGGGGGUUAAAUUCCCUCCUGGCCCA